This 721-nucleotide ribosomal RNA is filed under the name Bacillus pumilus. Its description in RNAcentral is "bacterial SSU rRNA". It matches the Rfam family "Bacterial small subunit ribosomal RNA", at positions 38 to 730 of the family's 1533-position model. Lineage: Bacteria; Bacillati; Bacillota; Bacilli; Caryophanales; Bacillaceae. The record is from RNAcentral.
GGCGAUCGGGUGCUAUACAUGCAGUCGAGCGGACAGAAGGGAGCUUGCUCCCGGAUGUUAGCGGCGGACGGGUGAGUAACACGUGGGUAACCUGCCUGUAAGACUGGGAUAACUCCGGGAAACCGGAGCUAAUACCGGAUAGUUCCUUGAACCGCAUGGUUCAAGGAUGAAAGACGGUUUCGGCUGUCACUUACAGAUGGACCCGCGGCGCAUUAGCUAGUUGGUGAGGUAACGGCUCACCAAGGCGACGAUGCGUAGCCGACCUGAGAGGGUGAUCGGCCACACUGGGACUGAGACACGGCCCAGACUCCUACGGGAGGCAGCAGUAGGGAAUCUUCCGCAAUGGACGAAAGUCUGACGGAGCAACGCCCGCGUGAGUGAUGAAGGUUUUCGGAUCGUAAAGCUCUGUUGUUAGGGAAGAACAAGUGCAAGAGUAACUGCUUGCACCUUGACGGUACCUAACCAGAAAGCCACGGCUAACUACGUGCCAGCAGCCCGCGGUAAUACGUAGGUGGCAAGCGUUGUCCGGAAUUAUUGGGCGUAAAGGGCUCGCAGGCGGUUUCUUAAGUCUGAUGUGAAAGCCCCCGGCUCAACCGGGGAGGGUCAUUGUGAAACUGUUGAAACUUGAGUGCCACAAGAGGAGAGUGUAAAUUCCACGAGCUAGCGGCGAUAAUGCGUCGGAAAUCCGCAGGAAACAUCAGCGGUCAAACGCGUACUCUCU